AGCGAACGCUGGCGGCAUGCUUAACACAUGCAAGUCGCACGGAGGGGGCAACCCCUCAGUGGCGGACGGGUGAGUAACGCGUAGGUAUCUGUCCAUGGGUGGGGGAUAACAGCGGGAAACUGCUGCUAAUACCGCAUGACACCUGAGGGUCAAAGGCGCAAGUCGCCUGUGGAGGAGCCUGCGUCCGAUUAGCUUGUUGGUGGGGUAACGCCUACCAAGGCGAUGAUCGGUAGCUGGUCUGAGAGGAUGAUCAGCCACACGUGGGACUGAGACACGGCCAGACUCCUACGGGAGGCAGCAGGUGGGGAAUAUUGGACAA
This 319-nucleotide ribosomal RNA is filed under the name uncultured bacterium. RNAcentral's name for it is "bacterial SSU rRNA". It matches the Rfam family "Bacterial small subunit ribosomal RNA", at positions 29 to 371 of the family's 1533-position model. The record is from RNAcentral.